RNAcentral lists this ribosomal RNA (310 nucleotides) under Salmonella enterica subsp. enterica serovar Bredeney. Its description in RNAcentral is "partial 23S ribosomal RNA". It matches the Rfam family "Bacterial large subunit ribosomal RNA", at positions 1235 to 1547 of the family's 2925-position model. The record is from RNAcentral. Lineage: Bacteria; Pseudomonadati; Pseudomonadota; Gammaproteobacteria; Enterobacterales; Enterobacteriaceae.
AGCGUUCUGUAAGCCUGCGAAGGUGGCCUGUGAGGGUUGCUGGAGGUAUCAGAAGUGCGAAUGCUGACAUAAGUAACGAUAAAGCGGGUGAAAAGCCCGCUCGCCGGAAGACCAAGGGUUCCUGUCCAACGUUAAUCGGGGCAGGGUGAGUCGACCCCUAAGGCGAGGCCGAAAGGCGUAGUCGAUGGGAAACGGGUUAAUAUUCCCGUACUUGGUGUUACUGCGAAGGGGGGACGGAGAAGGCUAUGUUGGCCGGGCGACGGUUGUCCCGGUUUAAGCGUGUAGGUGUGUGUUCCAGGUAAAUCCGGUU